This 481-nucleotide ribosomal RNA is filed under the name Triticum aestivum (bread wheat). Its description in RNAcentral is "partial small subunit ribosomal RNA". The record is from RNAcentral. Lineage: Eukaryota; Viridiplantae; Streptophyta; Magnoliopsida; Poales; Poaceae.
GGCGGCGGCGCUUCUCCUCUCGCUCCGGCUGAGGCGGCGGCGCUACUCCCGGUUCACCUUCUUCUUCUCCUACUCCUCCGAGUUCUCCUUCGCGGCUUUCUACUCCGUCGCUAGGUUCAUCCGCCAUUCGUAGUAGAACGUAGGUCCGUCGCCUUGAGACUCCCCACUACCGUAACAGAUCACUAAGAACUAAACAAGACAACAAAACCGACACCUUCAACGAAAAUGGACACAAACCAGUUUAAAUCAACAAAUUAUGAUCAGACCGAUACAAGGUCAUGACUCAAAAUACAUUACACUCCUAAUAUACACAAACACUGACUUAAAAUACGUCGAUAAUUAAAACGUCAUGAGACUUUAUACAUUAAGAGUGGACGCAGAGUAGAAAAAACACUACGCUACGACGAGAUAAAAAAAAAACAGUAUCUACAAAGAUUUUAAAAUGAUCUACUAAUUAUAGACAAUACGGAACACUUACCAA